AUUGAACGCUGGCGGCAGGCUUAACACAUGCAAGUCGAGCGAGCGGCGGACGGGUGAGUAAUGUCUGGGAAACUGCCUGAUGGAGGGGGAUAACUACUGGAAACGGUAGCUAAUACCGCAUACCAUCAGAUGUGCCCAGAUGGGAUUAGCGGGUAGGUGGGGUAAGGGCUAACCUAGGCGAAGAUCCCUAGCUGGUCUGAGAGGAUGACCAGCCACACUGGAACUUAGACACGGUCCGUACUCCUACGGGAGGCAGCAGUGUGGAAUAUUGCACAAUGGGCGCAAUCCUGAUGCAGCCAUGCCGCGUGUGUGACGAAGGCCUUCGGGUUGUAAAGCACUUUCAGCGAGGAGGCGUUACUCGCAGAAGAAGCACCGGCUAACUCCGUGCCAGCAGCCGCGGUAAUAC
This 406-nucleotide ribosomal RNA is filed under the name uncultured bacterium. RNAcentral describes it as "partial 16S ribosomal RNA". It matches the Rfam family "Bacterial small subunit ribosomal RNA", at positions 30 to 526 of the family's 1533-position model. The record is from RNAcentral.